This 760-nucleotide long non-coding RNA is filed under the name Gallus gallus (chicken). Lineage: Eukaryota; Metazoa; Chordata; Aves; Galliformes; Phasianidae. The record is from RNAcentral.
CUCUUUCUGUAGGGGUUUCAGCGGUCCAUUUCUCAGCAAGUUCCAGACAUCGAGCAGUUGCUAACUUGUCUCCUUAAGAUCUUCCAUUGGGAGUUUGUAGCUCAACAAGAAAGAAGGAGGUGGUGCAUGAGCAGGGCUACUUGGUCCCUGCAUUGUUUUCUUUGCACAGUUUAUACAGAUGUAAUCCUCAUUCUCAGCCAUUUCUGGAGAGACGCCAACGCAAACCUGAUGAAACCACUCAUCGCAGCCACCAUCACACUGCACCCAGUCCACUUUGUCCUUGCAGGGCCUCUGGCAGUUCUGUGCAGCACAUACUGCAUUCUCAUCAUCUGACUCCUCAGCUCCUGACCAGUCAUACUUAGAAGGAAUAUCUAGAACCUUCUUCUCUCUUUUUUUCUCUGUGCUCUCCUUUGCCAGCUCCACCUUUGCCACAACCGCCUUCUCUCGCUUCUUCUUCCGUUCCUCUUCCUUGGCCAGUUUCUUUGCCAGCUUGUUCAGCUCCUUUGUCUUAUCCAUGGUGAGUUUUAGCUUCUUUUUCUUCGGUUUUUCUAAUUUUUUCAACUCUUUAGACUUUUGCUUCAUAUCUCCGAAGAACUGUUCUGCUCUCUCCAGCUUUCGCUUCCGCUUCCUCUCGGAUGAGUCUCUCCCUCUCAUUUUCAGUGGUUUCUCAUCCAUGCUGUCAUCCUCCAUUACAUGAAGGAAUCUAUCUUCAGAGGGUGGAUGAGUAGCCUGUAAAAUCCGCCAGAUGUGCUGAGUUUCA